UACGUAGGGGGCAAGCGUUGUCCGGAAUCAUUGGGCGUAAAGCGCGUGUAGGCGGCAUAGUAAGUUCACUGUGAAAGCCCUUGGCUCAACCAAGGAAGUGCAGUGAAAACUGCUAAGCUCGAGUUCUGAAGAGGGUCGCGGAAUGGCCAGUGUAGAGGUGAAAUUCGUAGAUAUUGGCUAGAACACCAGUGGCGAAGGCGGCGACCUGGGAAGAUACUGACGCUGAGAUGCGAAAGCGUGGGGAGCAAACAGG
RNAcentral lists this ribosomal RNA (253 nucleotides) under uncultured bacterium. RNAcentral describes it as "partial 16S ribosomal RNA". It matches the Rfam family "Bacterial small subunit ribosomal RNA", at positions 524 to 776 of the family's 1533-position model. The record is from RNAcentral.